Molecule: ribosomal RNA, 268 nt
Filed under: uncultured bacterium
Lineage: Bacteria
Description: partial 16S ribosomal RNA
Rfam family: Bacterial small subunit ribosomal RNA
Source: RNAcentral
AUGGCGACCGGCGCACGGGUCGCGUAACGCGUAUGCAACCUACCUUUUACAGGGGCAUAACACUGAGAAAUUGGUACUAAUUCCCCAUAAUAUCUGAGACGGUCAUCGUUUUGGGUUGAAAACUCAGGUGGUAAAAGAUGGGCAUGCGUUGUAUUAGCUAGUUGGUGAGGUAACGGCUCACCAAGGCGACGAUACAUAGGGGGACUGAGAGGUUAACCCCCCCACAUUGGUACUGAGACACGGACCAAACUCCUACGGAAGGCAGCAG